Molecule: ribosomal RNA, 564 nt
Filed under: Tassiloa wetmorei
Lineage: Eukaryota; Fungi; Ascomycota; Lecanoromycetes; Teloschistales; Teloschistaceae
Description: eukaryotic LSU rRNA
Rfam family: 5.8S ribosomal RNA (bases 198-351)
Source: RNAcentral
ACGAGAGAGGGGCUUCGGCUCCAGGGGCUCAUACCCCGCACUCUUCACCCUAUGUGUAUCAACCGCUGUUGCUUUGGCGGGCUCCGGGCUUCGGCUCGGCUCCAGUUCUGGGCUACCUUUGACCGGUGUCCGCCCGCCAAAGACCUUCAAAAUCCUUUUGUAUCAGUGUAGUCUGAGCUAUGAAGCAAAUCAAACAAAACUUUCAACAACGGAUCUCUUGGUUCUGGCAUCGAUGAAGAACGCAGCGAAAUGCGAUAAGUAAUGUGAAUUGCAGAAUUCAGUGAAUCAUCGAAUCUUUGAACGCACAUUGCGCCCCUUGGUAUUCCGAGGGGCAUGCCUGUUCGAGCGUCAUUGCACCUCUCAAGCUCUGCUUGGUAUUGAGCGCUCGCCGCCCCUUCGCCGGGCGGCGUGCUCAAAAACUAGUGGCGGUCCUCGGAGACUUCAAGCGCAGUAAUACCGCCGCUUUAGAAGCCAUCUUCGUGAGGGCCCGGCCAACCACCCCCCAUUUUUCAAUGAUUGACCUCGGAUCAGGUAGGGAUACCCGCUGAACUUAAGCAUAUCAAU